UUCAUUGUUGACCAGUGGAAAACUUCCCGCCGAAGUGUUUCAAAUAGCACUUUGUCUUCAAACGAACAAGAUGGACACAUGCAGUUUACAGAAGCAAAAUAUUUGAUUUGAACUGUUCGUGAAACCACACAUACUCAAGAGAAUUUACAAGACUAUUAUCCACAAAAUGCAACAGUCUUAUUUUGAUGAAUUGUUGAACCAGAGAAUUGUGAAGACUUACAGACACCUAGACUGUAUAGUCAACAUAACAAUGAUUAGAGAAUCAGACUACAGUGAACAUUACAAUGAUUAGAAAAUCAGACUAGAGUCAAUAUUACAAUGAUUAGAGAAUCAGACUAUAGUCAACAUUACAAUGAUUAGAAAAUCAGCCAGCUGCAUUUCAUCAAUCAGUUUAUGAUGAAGCUUUACAGCAUUGGAAAUGAUUACUCAGGGACCAAACAACUGAGCAGAAAGAAGAACCAUAUGACCUUGAAGAGUAAGCAAUGUAUUAAGUAUAUUUGGGGUUACCAAAGAGUAUGGUAAGAACCUCAUCUUAAAUUAUACUUGAGUUCUUACAAAGAUGCAUAGAGUUCUUACGAAGAUGUAUAGGUAUGCAGUAUUUAUUAUUUUUGUCUCUGUGUAUUUUUGUCAAUGAGGUAAAACCACAGAACAAAUCAAUCAGAAGUAUUAACUGGUGUAAUUUGAGAACACCCUGGAACACGAGAAAUAUCCUACCUCACAAAAUUUAACA
Molecule: long non-coding RNA, 730 nt
Organism: Mytilus trossulus (common blue mussel)
Lineage: Eukaryota; Metazoa; Mollusca; Bivalvia; Mytilida; Mytilidae
Exons: 5
Source: RefSeq, a predicted model, not a curated record